RNAcentral lists this ribosomal RNA (757 nucleotides) under Pristimantis cf. bicantus GG-2022. RNAcentral's name for it is "partial large subunit ribosomal RNA". It matches the Rfam family "Bacterial large subunit ribosomal RNA", at positions 1561 to 2538 of the family's 2925-position model. Lineage: Eukaryota; Metazoa; Chordata; Amphibia; Anura; Strabomantidae. The record is from RNAcentral.
UAUUGAGAACUUCUAUAUUAUUAUGGAACCUUUAAUGUUAAAACUAGUAACAAGAGAAAACCCCUCUCUAUAAUGCAAACUCAAGCCAGCAAGAACCCAUCACUGGCAACUAACAAAGUAAAGUAGAAACUUUUCCAGAAAACUCUACUUCCCCCAACUGUUAACCUUACACAAGAGCAUUUCAAGAAAGAUUUUAAGAAAAAGAAGGAACUCGGCAAAUAUAAAUCCCGCCUGUUUACCAAAAACAUCGCCUCUUGUCCACCAGUAAGAGGUCCAGCCUGCCCAGUGACUCUUGUUCAACGGCCGCGGUAUCCUAACCGUGCGAAGGUAGCGUAAUCACUUGUCUUUUAAAUAAAGACUAGUAUGAAAGGCACCACGAGGAUUAAACUGUCUCCUUUUUCUAAUCAGUGAACCUAAUCUCCCCGUGAAAAAGCGGGAAUUUUUAUAUAAGACGAGAAGACCCUAUGGAGCUUAAAACAUCAUAACACUGCCCCCCCCCCUUUUUUCCAAUUCAGAAUUUAACCCCCCCCCGCACGCUGAUUAUAUGUUUUCGGUUGGGGUGACCGCGGAGGAAAAUCCAUCCUCCGCGAUGACAAAGGGACCCCCCCCAAACAAUAAGUCACAACUUUAUGUAUCAACAAAUUGACAUUAUUGACCCAAUAUAUUGAUUAACGAACCAAGUUACCCUAGGGAUAACAGCGCAAUCCACUUUGAGAGCUCCUAUCGACAAGUGGGCUUACGACCUCGAUGUUGGAUC